This 88-nucleotide ribosomal RNA is filed under the name Campylobacter coli. RNAcentral also lists the same sequence under 2 other names. The record is from RNAcentral. Lineage: Bacteria; Pseudomonadati; Campylobacterota; Epsilonproteobacteria; Campylobacterales; Campylobacteraceae.
GUCCGUGAUUAUACAGAUGUGGAAACGCCUUGCUCCAUCCCGAACCAAGAAGCUAAGCACAUCGUGGGUGAUGAUACUACGCCUUACU